This 388-nucleotide long non-coding RNA is filed under the name Rattus norvegicus (Norway rat). RNAcentral describes it as "long non-coding RNA NONRATT021143". Lineage: Eukaryota; Metazoa; Chordata; Mammalia; Rodentia; Muridae. The record is from RNAcentral.
AGCUGCCAGGGUCAUAGAAUGAGGCUGCGAGGCAGGCAGAAAACAGACGGCUAUAAUUAAUUUGUCAGGAACUGUGUUUGGAGCUUAAAAGGCCUUGUGUUAUAGUGCUAGUCACAUUUAGCUUCAUCUUGGCUCCUCUAAACAUAGCAGAAACUUUAAAGGUGGACCUAGAAAUCAUCUGGAAGCCACUGGCAGAGCUUGUCUUCCAAGGGCAUCUUGAGACAUCAGACUUUUGUUCUUACUCUUUGCUCUCCUGCCACAUGAUGCUCUACCAUAACCAUCCAACCUGAUGGUUGACCUCAGUAGAAGUCCAGAAGCAGUGGUGCCAAUGAGCCAAGCACUGCAGUGUGUGCCACUGUGUGCUAAAAUAAAUUUUUACCCCUUUUAA